AUUGAACGCUGGCGGCAUGCCUUACACAUGCGAGUCGAACGGUAACAGGUCUUCGGAUGCUGACGAGUGGCGAACGGGUGAGUAAUACAUCGGAACGUGCCUAGUAGUGGGGGAUAACUACUCGAAAGAGUGGCUAAUACCGCAUGAGAUCUACGGAUGAAAGCAGGGGAUCGCAAGACCUUGUGCUACUAGAGCGGCCGAUGGCAGGUUAGGUAGUUGGUGGGAUAAAAGCCUACCACGCCGACGAUCUGUAGCUGGUCUGAGAGUACGAUUAGCCACACUGGGACGGAGACACGGACCAGACUCCUACGGGAGGCAGCAGUGGGGAAUUUUGGACAAUGGGCGAAAGCCUGAUCCAGCAAUGCCGCGUGCAGGAUGAAGGCCUUCGGGUUGUAAACUGCUUUUGUACGGAACGAAAAGCCCUGGGUUAAUACCCUGGGGUCAUGACGGUACCGUAAGAAUAAGCACCGGCUAACUACGUGCCAGCAGCCGCCGCUG
Molecule: ribosomal RNA, 498 nt
Filed under: uncultured bacterium
Lineage: Bacteria
Description: partial 16S ribosomal RNA
Rfam family: Bacterial small subunit ribosomal RNA
Source: RNAcentral